Molecule: long non-coding RNA, 2262 nt
Filed under: Dicentrarchus labrax (European seabass)
Lineage: Eukaryota; Metazoa; Chordata; Actinopteri; Moronidae
Description: lncRNA (ENSDLAG00005033402.1)
Source: RNAcentral
AUGAGCUGUUGUACUUGUAUGUUAUAUUAUACUGUAUGUUAUAUUAUACUGUAUAUUAUAUUAUACUGUAUAUUAUAUGCUGCUUUACAAGUAACACUGAAUCCUCCAUGUUUUACAGGUGACCUGAUGAAGCUCAGGUGUUCCUGGACCCAUCAGAGGACAGAGACAGCUGCAGCAUCAGGACAGUCUGGGUAUCCAAAGGAAGACUGAUGAAGAUGAACACUGACUGCAGAGCACCGUUACCAGCUCACACUUCAGUAUACUAGAAACCAUAAACCUUGAUGGAGGACAUGAUCUGCACAGUUUACAUUGAAGUUAUAGCUUUGUUACUAGCAUACACACAAUUCAUAUUUAUGUGUAACUGGAAUACGAAUGAAACAUUAAUAAAGUUUUAUUUUUAAGAAGAGUUUUGGUCAUUUUUAAAUUCAGUAAUAAGUGUGGUUUUAUAUAAAUAACAUGUUAUUUCAGAGGUUUUAUGAAGAUUUCCUGGAUGUACAAGAGUUGAAAACCUGAUUCGUGUUACAUCUAUCAAUAUGAAAUUGUGGAACUUAAACCUGUAUUAAUGACUGUAAGCAACACAAUACAUUACUGUCUCACAUUCAAACUUUAUUACAUUGGAAGAUAAAUGACAUCAUAAUACAGUAUAUAAUAUAAAUGAUAGAAUAUUCAGUAUACAGUAUUUUUAAUGGGGUUCAAACAUAAUUGCAGCUUUUACACAUAUCUGAAGGUUAACUUUGGUAAUAAUACUUUUAAGUUAAAAUAUCAGACUAUGAAAUAUGGAUACAGUACAGUUAACAGUUGGUUACUUAGCAGUUUUUAAACCACAUGAACAAGUUACUUUAUUAGAUGAGUGAUUCCUUCAGUUAUGUUGACAUGUUGUACAGGAUAAAGUAUUGCAGGUUUCUGUUUCCAUGGUCUCAGUAAACUAAUGUGUAUAAAGAAUAUAACAGAUGGGAGGUUACAGUAAUCAUCAUACUAUUACUCUGAUUACUUUGGUACAUUUACUGGGUAUUUCUUCACUAGAAACAACUGCUUGACUAAUGUUGUUAAUAUUAUGUAAUAUAUAAUAUGUUUAACUUCACUGGGCUGUGUAGACUGUAGGUCACUGCUCACUGCUGUACCUGUAAAGACAAGCAUAAAACACAGUGUUGGUUCUCAUAGUUAAGGUAUAAACACUAACAUUAUGUGAUAGAUAGAGGUUAAUAUAUAUAUAUAUAUAUUUUAGUUAUAUGUAUGUAUAUGUAGUUAAUAUAGCAGUAUUUACCUGAGGAAAACGUCACAGAAAGCUGUAAUACUGAUUGUUGAUGUUGUUCAUUUCUCUGUGAUUUCAGGUCAGACUCCCGCUCUAACAUGUCCGCUGGUGAAGUUUUUGCUUUAGAAGCAGUUAUUGAAUUAAUAUUGACGGUAGAAAUGAAGCUAAUCUCAGUAGCAGUUAGGGGAGCUACCUGCCGGCAACGAAGGGGAGGGGCCGGAGUGUCAUCCGCGUGAGCCGCGUCAUCCGCAUGAGCCGCGUCAUAAUGCUGACCAAUCAGAGCAGACUGGGCUUUUCGGGAGGGGGGUCUUAAAGAGACAGGCGCUAAAACCUAGCGAUUCAGACAGAGGCUGAAAAGAGGUGCUCAGCUGUAGGCAGUAUGAGUAAAAUAAUGUGUUUUUUGAACAUUAAAACAUCUAAACCUAUUGUAGGAGAGCCACAAAAUACAAUUAUGAACCUGAAAAAGGGCAUAAUAUGUCUCCUUUAAACUCACAGACAAGUUAACGAUGUCACUCCUGUGUUAUAUGUGUAGAUAUGUGUAUAUUGUCUGUAUGUGUACUAUGUGUAGUUUGUGUGUAGAACUCAUGCUGAAGGGGCUCUUUGUACAGACUGUGAAAACAAAUUUCUUCCACUGAGGACAAUAAAGAAUGAAUCUGAAUCUGAAUCUAGUUCUAAUUGUUUUAAAAUUAACUAAUGUAAUUUUUCAUCAAUUCUAUUUUAGUUUUGUGUACCACUAGAGGCAGUGCAGGUACCAUAGUUUCCAGUUGUCUUGUCGUGACGUGCUACGGUAAGCGUACAGACUCAUUUCCGGUUUACUUCCUGCUCUGUGUACACUGUUUGGUGCUGUAGCUCUGUCAGUGAACGCUAAAUCUAAAUUAGUUUUACUCGUUACAGCGGUUAUUUUCCCGCUUAGCAUUUAAACGUAGACUAGUUCUACCUAAACACUCGGAGUUACUCCUUCUUUUAGUGACUUUUCGCUAUUUUCAAAGUUUUUCAUACACGCUAGUUUC